RNAcentral lists this long non-coding RNA (464 nucleotides) under Malus domestica (apple). RNAcentral's name for it is "long non-coding RNA (MDOM_LNC003247)". The record is from RNAcentral. Lineage: Eukaryota; Viridiplantae; Streptophyta; Magnoliopsida; Rosales; Rosaceae.
AGAAAAUGGCUAUCGGCCUUAACAGAGAAACUUGCAUACAAGAAACCACAUCGAAGAAACAAAUUUUCACUGCGGCAUUUAAGCAAACAGAUGGUGUGCAUUGUGGAAUAAAAAAGAAAGAACAUGAUACAAAUGGAAAUAUGGACCUUUGAGCAGAAAAACCCCAAGAAACUUCAACCACCAUCAAACUUCAACCGAUCGCAAGGAGUCGCACAGCGGAAUUGAGUCCGAGAAUCGGCCUGGCUCUUGAUACCAUGUUAAGAGAAAUAAAGAGUUGCAGACAGAGCAUGUAUUGAAGAAGAAGAGAGAAAAGGGAAUAAGAGAGAGAUAAAGUAAUGGAUUACAUUGAUACUCAAUUGAUCUUUACAACUAUGAGAAUACAAUUUAUAUAGCCAUCAUGACUAGCUUGCAGCCUAAGCUAUUUAACUAACUAAUUUGAUAACAACCUAACUAACUAUUGCUGA